GUGCAAGUCGAGCGAAUGGAUUAAGAGCUUGCUCUUAUGAAGUUAGCGGCGGACGGGUGAGUAACACGUGGGUAACCUGCCCAUAAGACUGGGAUAACUCCGGGAAACCGGGGCUAAUACCGGAUAACAUUUUGAACUGCAUGGUUCGAAAUUGAAAGGCGGCUUCGGCUGUCACUUAUGGAUGGACGUCGCAUUAGCUAGUUGGUGAGGUAACGGCUCACCAAGGCAACGAUGCGUAGCCGACCUGAGAGGGUGAUCGGCCACACUGGGACUGAGACACGGCCCAGACUCCUACGGGAGGCAGCAGUAGGGAAUCUUCCGCAAUGGACGAAAGUCUGACGGAGCAACGCCGCGUGAGUGAUGAAGGCUUUCGGGUCGUAAAACUCUGUUGUUAGGGAAGAACAAGUGCUAGUUGAAUAAGCUGGCACCUUGACGGUACCUAACCAGAAAGCCACGGCUAACUACGUGCCAGCAGCCGCGGUAAUACGUAGGUGGCAAGCGUUAUCCGGAAUUAUUGGGCGUAAAGCGCGCGCAGUUGUUUUUUUAAGUCUAGAUAGUGACAGCUCAUCGGCUCAGCCGUGUCGGUUCAUUGUUAACAUGGGAGACUUGAAGUGCGGAAGAGGAAAGUUGACUUCCAUGUGUAGCGGUGAAGUGCG
Molecule: ribosomal RNA, 656 nt
Filed under: Bacillus cereus
Lineage: Bacteria; Bacillati; Bacillota; Bacilli; Caryophanales; Bacillaceae
Description: bacterial SSU rRNA
Rfam family: Bacterial small subunit ribosomal RNA
Source: RNAcentral